UAGUGAACUAGUACCGUGAGGGAAAGGCGAAAAGAACCCCGGGAGGGGAGUGAAAUAGAUCCUGAAACCGCAUGCUUACAAAAAGUCGGAGCCCGCAAGGGUGACGGCGUACCUUUUGUAUAAUGGGUCAGCGAGUUAAUCUGACGGGCAAGCUUAAGCCGGUAGGCGUAGGCGCAGCGAAAGCGAGUCUGAAUAGGGCGAAUAAGUACGUCGCAUGACGACCCGAAACCAGGUGAUCUAUCCAUGAGCAGGUUGAAGGCU
RNAcentral lists this ribosomal RNA (261 nucleotides) under Climacostomum virens. RNAcentral's name for it is "partial Bacterial large subunit ribosomal RNA". It matches the Rfam family "Bacterial large subunit ribosomal RNA", at positions 488 to 753 of the family's 2925-position model. The record is from RNAcentral. Lineage: Eukaryota; Ciliophora; Heterotrichea; Heterotrichida; Climacostomidae.